This is a long non-coding RNA of Canis lupus familiaris (dog), 1221 nucleotides long. RefSeq lists it as uncharacterized. The transcript has 4 exons. NCBI's taxonomy places the organism in Eukaryota, Metazoa, Chordata, Mammalia, Carnivora, Canidae. The record is from RefSeq and is a predicted model, not a curated record.
GAGGGUCUGACCUGGGCCUGGCUCCGCCCUGGCCUGCAGUGUGGACACAGAUGUGUCACAGGCCAGCAGGAAGACAUCAGUGACCUAGGGUCAUGUGUGUUGUCCCAGGACUGCUGGGAAACGGUGUGCUGUGGAGGCGACAGCAGGGGCGCCCAGGGCCGGCUGGGCAGGACUCCUGGGGACGGCCCACGGGUGACCACUUGUGAGCAGACACAGGAUGGGCAGGCCCAUGACAGCUCGGGGAAGGGCUGCCCUGGACAAACGGGGCCUGCGUGGUCCCCACCCAUGUGGCCCUCUCCACUGGUAGCUGUUGGGGGCUGGGCUCAGGCCUGAGCUCUCCCUAGCCUCCUCCACCCCCUUCCUUAGGAGGCACUCACACACGACGACGGCUGUCCCUCACUCGCCCACCAGCUCAGACGAGGACAAACGCCCCCUGUGCUCCGGCCAUCGAUCCCUUUCUCUCCUGUUCACUGCGGCAUCUCAGAGCCACAGGAAAGUCACACAGUUGAUGCCUGCACCCGCCUGGGAUUGACUCAAUCCAGCUCUCUUCUCCAGGUGGGGAAACCAGAUGUCCGAUCACACGGGUAGCGGCCGCCUGGCUCUGCGCCCCUGGCUCCCCCCAUACAGCACCGCCUUCCUACUGAGUACAGCUUCACCGAUUGUGUCCAGCGCGUGGGUCCCAGGCAGAGCAGACCUCACGCCCCACCCCGGGGACCGCCUCCUGCCCCCACGGUGACAGGGUGCCUUCACCCCACGCCCGGCCCUCUGCACUGGGGGCCACAAGGUGGGGGCAGGCACCCAAUGAACCCACAUCUGCCUGUUUUCCCAGGCUUUUUAUUAUUUAACCUGCACCCACGGGGAGGGAAGCUAUGCCUACCGCGGAGGAGACGGGCGAACCUGCCGGAAAGCAGGCAGAUGGUGUGAAGGGUCCAGAAUAACCGACCCAGGCCUCCAGAGUGUCAGGGUCACAGGAGGUGAGGAAAGACGGAGGACUUCCCUGAACUGGGAGACAAAGAAGCCAUGAUGAGCAAGUGCGACAUGGGACCCGGGACCAGAGCCAGGACAGAACGAGACACGGACGCAGAGACGGGAAACUCUUCAGUCACUGGUGUUGUAGCCGAGAAUGGCCUAGUUUUGAUUAAAACCGUGUAGGAUUAUUUGCGUACGGGGGUGUGGUGUGACGGGGCAUCGGGCUCCUUGUCUUACUUCCACGACUUUUCC